GGCAAUAUUAGUGAAGCUGCAGACGUGAGGAACUAUGUCAGGCUUAUUGCAGGUAUGCAAGAAGCAACGACAGAGUUGGUUUUUGCUUUUUGGGAUUUUUAUGUUGUGUGUCCGGGAAUUUCAGGCUUGGUCUGUAUUAUAAUGAACAAGUGCAGCCUGGGGUUGCAUUAUGGGGGAUGGCCAUGAUGUGUGUUCUUCAAUUUUAGACAAGUCUAGAUACAUAUCGAUGUAGUGGAUUCAAUUCACCGCACAAUGAACUAGAGCAUCUCUUCUGGAAAGUAGAUAAGUUGUUUUAGAUCAUUACAUAUUACGUCCAGUUUACUUCUCUGUUUAUUUCAAGAAAAAACUAGGUGUUUGCCUACUUGGACCGCUCCAUGUUAUGCUCACCUAAUGAUGCAAUAGGAUAUGUGCUUUUUAGAAACUCAAAUUAUACUCUAUUCUGAUGGAACUUUUUGAUAUUGUUGUCUUUCUAGACAUGGAGUGUACAUCCAUUCAAGAAGUCAAGAAGGUGUGGUCCUUAGCAGUAUUUAUUUGCAGCAACAUGGGAGAUCAAAAAAUGAUGCUCAAGUUAACCUCUCAGUACAUAUUAGUGGCAAAGCUAUUCACCUCCUCGACGCCGAAAUCGCCAGUCUUUCCCACAGCCUGACUCAACAUGCAAAGUAACUCUACAUCCUGAUGCUUAAUCAGUUACUUUGCAUGUAUGUAAAACUAAUGUUUAAUCAGUUACUUAAUGGUCUAUUCCACCUUUUCCAUUUUUUAUACCCAUCUAAUGCUUUUUUAGAAUUGCACCUCUGUAGGAAAAUAGACCAAAAUUUCUCAUAUUUUUGCAGAGCUUACUUAUGCCAUCCACUUUCCAAUCCGUUCAUGCCUCUCAAAUAGACAUUUGCCAGUCAAUAUAGAUUUGUGCUUUAUUAGUUACUAAGAAGCCUUUAGCCUAUCUGUAGAUGUUCACUUACUAGGAAACUUUGUUCAGGUCAGUCAAGGAAAGGAGGCACGUUGUUCACUUUCUAGCCUAUUUGUAAAAGAAACUUUGUUCACGUCACUUACUAGGCUAUGCACAUGAAGAAAUUGUAAAACCUGUAUAGAGUAUUAUUAGUGUGAAGCAUGUUCAGUUAACUUGGUUACGAAAAAGAUGUUCAUCAGCAAGCUAUACAUUAAAAACAUUCCAGAUUAUUACAAUUUAACCUAUAGAUAGUUCAAUCAAAUCAGAUGCCCCUAUCUUAUAUCAUUUGUUCAGGUCAGUAAAGGAAAGGAGGCACAUUGGUUUUCUAAGAUAGAAAAUGGUGUUUCAUUCAGCAACUAUCACAAUAUAGAUGAAGUUUGAGAUUUAUCAGGAGUUUGUGGUUCAUUUUGCUUGCUAUUUUACAACAGAUUUUAGUCCUAAAGGUUGGUUCUAACACCCCGAAUGACACUCCCCGGGAAAUAAAGUUAUCCUCUCAACAGGGCGUCACUCGGUGAAACUUCUAUAGGUAACCUUCAGCUUCAUAAGAGGACAUCUUUUUGCCAGUUAUUAUAUAGAACACUACUAGACAGUCCCAAGAAUUCUUUCGUGUGCAUGAACAUGCUUUUUUUCCAGUGAAUCCAUCUCUCAUCGCACAUCCAUUCAUUAAUAUUAGAUGAUAAAUCUUUUAGAGGUUCACUGUAUAUGUAGAUACACAGAUUUGUAUUCCGUAGAACUUCUCUCUCUGGUGAAAGGUAUCUACAAUGUCUACUUAAAUCACUAGAACACCUGUUGAAUCUACGUUCGUCCAUGCAGCAUACCAAAUUACUUAUUUUCCAGAAAACAAAUUCUGUGUAGUGUGAUGCUUAAUAGCCUUUCCUAUAUAUGUACAAACUGCAAGAGAUACGUACAGUUCCUGACCUGUGAACGACUGCUUAGUGCUAUUGGUUCUUUCUACAUCAAAGGUACAUACAUCUACAAGUUCUUUGUAGUUCAAAUGGACUAUCCUCUAUAAUAAUUAUUAUUAUGUAGAACUGUUAAUUCACUUACAUGUGCCCUUUGCGGGAGUGAAAAUUGAAAACCUCUAUGGAGCAGAUUAGAUUGGUAAUAAACUAAUAGUUAAUUAUGUAGUUGUAAUUGGCCAGCGAUGGUUUAAGCGUUAUUCCAUACUAACAUUUAUGUGAUAUUUGAUCUUAAUGUUAUCUUUUGAUCUACUACUUCCUAUAGAUUGGCCUAAUUUCACUUCAACCAGAAAAAGAGUUUGCCAUGAUACAUUAACUUUCUAUCUGCUUUCGCCUUUCUAAUGUUUUUCUUGCUCUGAAAUGUGUUUAUUCAGCAUCAGCUCUAGAUGGAGAUUUAACAUUGUGGGCCACUUAAUGGGCACAACAGCGACAGAAAUAUAUGAGGGACAAGAAUGCUUCUGUGUAGAGUAUGGUCAUGAUUCUCAAGUUGAGAAGCUAAUGGAGACAGCUACACGUGUUCCUCCUUUUCUGAGGCACAAUAGAGCAGAUAAUGUGGACAUUGUUUUAUCUGUACUAUCUAGACAUAGGUAUAUAUUUCUUCAUGGUAGCCAAGCAAGCAUAUUGGCUACAACAUUCAGUGUACAUGCAUAGUAUAAUCACGAAUCACAAUCACAUAUUGUGCUCAUUGUCCAAUGUGUUGUAGGACCCCAUUAUGAUAUCAUGUUUGAUGGUAAUUACAAUAUGUUUGAC
RNAcentral lists this long non-coding RNA (2652 nucleotides) under Triticum aestivum (bread wheat). RNAcentral's name for it is "long non-coding RNA (TAES_LNC024687)". The record is from RNAcentral. Lineage: Eukaryota; Viridiplantae; Streptophyta; Magnoliopsida; Poales; Poaceae.